Molecule: ribosomal RNA, 468 nt
Filed under: uncultured bacterium
Lineage: Bacteria
Description: partial 16S ribosomal RNA
Rfam family: Bacterial small subunit ribosomal RNA
Source: RNAcentral
GACGAACGCUGGCGGCGUGCUUAACACAUGCAAGUCGAACGGAAAGGCCCUGCUUUUGUGGGGUGCUCGAGUGGCGAACGGGUGAGUAACACGUGAGUAACCUGCCCUUGACUUUGGGAUAACUUCAGGAAACUGGGGCUAAUACCGGAUAGGAGCUCCUGCUGCAUGGUGGGGGUUGGAAAGUUUCGGCGGUUGGGGCUGGACUCGCGGCUUAUCAGCUUGUUGGUGGGGUAGUGGCUUACCAAGGCUUUGACGGGUAGCCGGCCUGAGAGGGUGACCGGCCACAUUGGGACUGAGAGACGGCCCAGACUCCUACGGGAGGCAGCAGUGGGGAAUAUUGCACAAUGGGCGGAAGCCUGAUGCAGCAACGCCGCGUGCGGGAUGACGGCCUUCGGGUUGUAAACCGCUUUCGCCUGUGACGAAGCGUGAGUGACGGUAAUGGAUAAAGAAGCACCGGCUAACUACGUG